This 59-nucleotide transfer RNA is filed under the name Kotorella pronosoma. RNAcentral describes it as "tRNA-Pro". Lineage: Eukaryota; Metazoa; Platyhelminthes; Cestoda; Trypanorhyncha; Tentaculariidae. The record is from RNAcentral.
CUUACCCUAGUUUAAAAAGAAUGUAGGUUUUGGGGAUCUUUGGUCUUCUAAGGGAAGGG